This 370-nucleotide long non-coding RNA is filed under the name Mytilus galloprovincialis (Mediterranean mussel). Lineage: Eukaryota; Metazoa; Mollusca; Bivalvia; Mytilida; Mytilidae. The record is from RNAcentral.
CGUGAUCGCCGUUUUUUAUUUCACGUUCAACGGAUUUUUACUUUUUUAUUUGACGUUCAGUCGUGCAAGACAGGUGCCUCGUUGAACGUGUUUUGCUUAUUUAAUUUUACGUGCAUCGUGAUUUUCAAAUGCUUAUUUUGCGUGCUCGGUAUUUUUCAAAUAAAUUUCAAACACUGGGCAGGGAUCGUCAAGAAGAAAAAAAAUAUUGAAAUUUGUUUUUGUGAUAAGGGACUCAUAAGGCGGAAAGACCCAUGAUGUUGUUCCUUCAUUUGCAUUUUAAAAGUUCAGAAGAUUGUUAAAUACUUUUUUAUAUUCAUUUAUAUCAUAAAUGCCUAAUCAUUGUUCUCUUAUAUGUUAUAUAAAUAAAGAU